Molecule: ribosomal RNA, 449 nt
Filed under: uncultured bacterium
Lineage: Bacteria
Description: partial 16S ribosomal RNA
Rfam family: Bacterial small subunit ribosomal RNA
Source: RNAcentral
AACGAACGCUGGCGGCAUGCCUAACACAUGCAAGUCGAACGAGACCUUCGGGUCUAGUGGCGCACGGGUGCGUAACGCGUGGGAAUCUGCCCUUCGGUUGGGAAUAACUGAGAGAAAUUUCAGCUAAUACCUUAUAAUGUCUUCGGACCAAAGAUUUAUCGCCGAGGGAUGAGCCCGCGUAGGAUUAGGUAGUUGGUGGGGUAAUGGCCUACCAAGCCGACGAUCCUUAGCUGGUCUGAGAGGAUGAUCAGCCACACUGGGACUGAGACACGGCCCAGACUCCGACGGGAGGCAGCAGUGGGGAAUAUUGGACAAUGGGCGAAAGCCUGAUCCAGCAAUGCCGCGUGAGUGAUGAAGGCCUUAGGGUUGUAAAGUUCUUUUACCCGGGAUGAUAAUGACAGUACCGGGAGAAUAAGCUCCGGCUAACUCCGUGCCAGCCGCCGCGGUAA